AACCUCUGGAGAACUCUUAAGUGAGUGCCGAAGGGGCAAGGCGGUACAAGAUGUACCAGCCGAAACUCUCAGGCAAACGGACAGAGGCG
RNAcentral lists this non-coding RNA (89 nucleotides) under human gut metagenome. RNAcentral's name for it is "Glycine riboswitch". It matches the Rfam family "Glycine riboswitch aptamer", at positions 8 to 87 of the family's 94-position model. Rfam says of the family: This family represents the bacterial glycine riboswitch. The record is from RNAcentral.